Long non-coding RNA from Macrobrachium nipponense, 2554 nucleotides. RefSeq lists it as uncharacterized. Lineage: Eukaryota; Metazoa; Arthropoda; Malacostraca; Decapoda; Palaemonidae. The record is from RefSeq and is a predicted model, not a curated record. The transcript has 3 exons.
UAAAAAAAAAAAAACCGCAGCGUAGUUACCAAAGAGCCAAUAAUUACAACACUUCACCACAUCCGAUGCGACUAAAAGAUAAGUUGCUAUAGAGAAUCUUCAAUUAAACUGAAAACUGUUUGGCAUUCAAAGCGUUGCUGUUCGUGCACUUGAAAUAAGAUGCACUUAUUUCAUUGUUGUAAAAUCUUUGCGAGAUUUUGCAAUGAAGCCAAAGGGUCUUAAGCUUAAAAUUUUUGUAAAUGCCAUAUUAUAGUAUUAUGUAUAAUUCUAAUUGAUAAUAGCUUACGUACUACAUAAUACGUAUUUCCGAUUUGGUAUAGGUAAUUUCAUAUAAAAGUUAAAUAUUAAUUAAAGUAAGUUCCUAAUUUUUUCACUCGUGAUUUUUUCUUCCGAAAAGUACUAGGAAUUUUCAAUCUUAUGGAGAAAGGAAUUUUCAAUAACUUUUUGAUUUGAAAGUUUGUGAAAUGAAAGUACCAACUGACCUUGCACCUUUCGGCAAGGGCAAAGACUACCUUAUUAUCAAUGACCUUGGUGAUUUGUCCCAAAGUAGUCUCAUUUGAUUACCCACCAUUAAGGCAAUGGUCUGAAGUCUAGGUGUUUCUGGAAUUUAGGUGGUGAUGAGGUGAUCCUAGAUUUGAGGUAGUCUCGCUGUUUUCCAGAGCCUUAAUUGGUCUAAUUUUUUUUUAUGAAUAUUUGGCCAAAUUGCUUUAAAAAUAUUUUGCUGUUGUACGCUUUCCUAAAAGCAUUAUUUUUUCAUAUUUUCUAGAACAGCAUGUCCUAAACAUUAACAUUAUGGCUUUGGAGUAAUUUGCUCAUUUUGAAAUAAUUUGCACAUGUCACUGGGACAGACUUGCAGUUCUACAGAUUUAAGAGUAGGGAAGUGUGAAUUUCUUGUUCGCAUUGACAUUGUUUCCUGGAAAGUGUUUGUUCCGGAUGUGGAAGGCUGCUCGAAACUUGCUUAGACCUUGACUAUAACAACCUUUUUGGUUGAUUGGCUUAUGAAAAUUAAGCUAUAAAUCCAAGCACUAAUUACUUUAUCCUUUAGCACCUAAUUGACUUUACUAGUCUGGUCGAAUUUUUGUCUCAAGGGAGAAUUAGUGGUGGGGUUCCUACAGUGGUCCCUUCUAAACCUCAUGAGGUGUAUUAAGAUUUCGGCUAGGCAUAAGCUAUUGAGCUGAUCUGGUGGAAGAGGUUAGUGCAAAGCAAAAUUGCCUUUAAACUUAAUCAGCAACUAAACCCCUGAUUUUAGUCCAAAUGAGUGUGUGUUCAUCCAAACAUUAAUACGCUGCUGAAUUCUCUGGGGGUAUCCCAGAAGAAGGUGAAAUAAGACUGACAAAAGCCAUGGCUGCAGUGAGAGGGAACUGCAUCGACAUGACUCGGGUGGAACGAAGGAACCAGGUGUCUCGAGCCACACUGUGUCGUCUAUCAAUAUGCAGCGAGUACCACCUCAUACUAGAGUUCGCGCAGGAAUGUAGGUGGUUGAACGCCGGCAAGUGAAUGAAAAGGUCGUCUAGAGAGUAUCCGCCUGAACUCACUUCAAAUGCAAGAACGUAAUGUAAAAUAUAACUAAACCAAGGAAAUUUGCAGAUGCAGAAGCGUCAUGUCAGAUGUGAUUAAGUUGAGAGCCCAGUGCCGAUACAGUAGCGUCAUGGCAGAUGUGAUGCUUCAAGAACCCACUGCAGAUACAGAAGUGUCCUGUCAGAUGUGAAUCUGAAUCCACUGCAGAUACAGAAACGUGUAGUAACUAAGCCAUUUCAGAUACAGAAACUUCGUGUCGUGUCAAAUGUGAAGCAGUCGAACCAACAGCAGUUACAGAAGCGACAUGUCAGAUAUGAUAAGUCCACUACAGAAAAAGCGAAGAAAUAGAUUAUUAUUCCACUGCAAAUCGAAGAAAAAUUUUUCUCUGAACGAGAGACAUCAAAGAAGCAAAGUUUAAGAGAAAUAUUUUAAUUACAAUAACUACUUAAUGAAAUACUAAAAUUAAAAGAAAAAUGUUUAUAGCAACUUCUCAUUUUCUUUGAAUUAAACUAAAAAUGUGUGACCUUCCCUGCUUUAUAUUACUUCCAUCCAUCCCUGGUAUUUUACGAUGAUUAUCUCUGAGAUUUCUGUAAAGUUAUUAAAUGCAUUAUUCUCCCACUAGUCCCAGUAGAAAAGAACUAAUUUCCUCCGUUCCAUUACUUGGGAAUGACAAAUAGCAGUCCGAAGUGUGCGCUAAACUUCCCCUGAAAGUUAUUUUCCCAACUAAGUCCAUGAAUAGACCCCUCAAAUAGCCAAAAAGGUUUAAAGCUUUUAUAGCAUCAGUAGAAGCUUAAGUGAAAAUACCUCCUUAGGAAUAACAACUUUCGGGAAAAACUAAAUAACUAACACUUCGGAGUCAUUCCCCACAAAGGAACUGGUGAUAUAGGAGUUUGUAGUAGGCAGCUGGAGAACUUUUGUCUUCUGAAAAACCAGAAUAGUGUUAAUUACUCGUAGACAUUAAAAAAGCUAAGUUAUCAAUCUAGCAAUAAUUUCACGUUAUCAAUCUAGCAAUAAUCUCACGUUAUCAAUCUCGCAA